GAGGAAUUGAACAAGGUGAGGUGAAGAGACGGUUGAAGUGACUCAGGACUUAUUUUGUUGCCUUUUGACUUCCGAUACCAUUUCCGGUGCGAACAGCAGCAUCCAUCUUUAAUCAUCACCUUUCCUGCGUGCGAGGACAGGAGCCACAGCAACCAGCACAACCACGGACUGAAGAUAUCAGGUCACACGGCUUCCUCAGGCCUCUGUGUGUUGGCCAUCACCACAGCAAUGGGAAUGUGGUGCAGCCCAACUGUUGGAACUACAGGGAUUCAGCCAUGCAGACCAGUAAAUCUCAACCUGGCUUCCAGGGAACUGCGGGGUUCCGCAAUAAGAAGUUUAAGAAGGUGCACAAACUUCCUUGUGAGACAGUUUGCCCACCACUAGUUUUCUCCAGCAGUACACCUGGAAAAGGGAGAUAAGCGGCCCAGCUGCAUGGGGGAGACUGCUGAAGCCAGGAACCGCUUGAGGCAUGUCCGCCCGGCCUUGAGAGACAUUAACAUCUCAGGCGGAGGUGUGAAAGAUCUACGUAUGAAAAGCCAAGGGGAGGGGGGAAGGAGUUGGAGAAAAGAAACUAUAAAAUACACUUUGUAGGGGGAGUUCAGCGCGGCUGGCUGACUCCAAGGCUGGGUGAUGUAUGAACUGUAGUUUUAGUUUUCUGGCUUGCUUUUUCUGGGUUCUUCUAUAUAUGCAUGUUUUAAUAGUUUUAGUAUGCUAAUCCCAUGUAACCUACCCAUUUCCAAAUAAAUGGUC
Molecule: long non-coding RNA, 750 nt
Organism: Elgaria multicarinata webbii
Lineage: Eukaryota; Metazoa; Chordata; Lepidosauria; Squamata; Anguidae
Exons: 4
Source: RefSeq, a predicted model, not a curated record